GAAGGAUGUUGUGCAGUCAGAGACCUGGAGGAUUUCAGUGUUCGCACUCUGUACGAUAAGUUGGAAGAUCAGAAUUUGCACCUGGCAUCUCAGCUGGCAAAGCACAGGAGGGAUGUGUUGGUGUUUUACAAUGGAGUCAGCCAGCAGAUUCAAGGUCUCAUGGACAUGGUACGAGCACUGGAUACUAAAGGCCUGAAAAUCCUUGGCAGGCAAAGGAUUUGUGAGCAUAAAUCUGGAGACAGCAGCCGGGCAGCAGUGGGCAUGGAACAGUGUGAGGAACACUGCAGCAGCAGCUUCAAUGCAGCAGGGCAGGCAGGUGCACUACAGCAAGAGGCAAUGGAGUUGAUGAAAGCUCUAGAGAUCCUGCUUGGGAGAGCUCAGCCUAAGAACAUGAAACGAGAGAUGGAGCAGCAGAUCCAUGGACAGGAUAUGGUGGCAGUUUUACCCUCACUGCACAGUGAAAGUAAAGCAAAA
This 474-nucleotide long non-coding RNA is filed under the name Chrysolophus pictus (golden pheasant). Its description in RNAcentral is "lncRNA (ENSCPIG00010004288.1)". The record is from RNAcentral. Lineage: Eukaryota; Metazoa; Chordata; Aves; Galliformes; Phasianidae.